AAUAAAUAAAUAAAUCUUUUAAAAAAAUUGGAAUGAUACAGAGAAGAUUAGCAUGGCCCCUGUGCAAGGAUGACACGCAAAUUCGUGAAGCAUUCCAUAUUUUU
Onychomys torridus (southern grasshopper mouse) is the source of this 104-nucleotide small nuclear RNA. NCBI's taxonomy places the organism in Eukaryota, Metazoa, Chordata, Mammalia, Rodentia, Cricetidae. The record is from RefSeq and is a predicted model, not a curated record.